AAAUUUACUAGGAGGGAAGUCCAGGAGUCAGAGGGAUUCGGGCUCAGCUAACCUAAGAGGAUUCUUGCUGAAGACAGGCCAGGGUGCUCAGACAUCACCUGGGGGACCGCGGAGGAUGAGGAAACUAAUCAGAUAUCGAGGGUGAUCAGAAAUCGAAGAUGGGUGGUUGCUACUAAACAGACUUAGCAGAGUUCAUGCCAAAACUGAAUUUUUCUUUCUUUCUUUUCUUUUUUUUUUUUGAGACAGAGUCUCACUCUGUCCCCCAGGCUAGAGCGCAGUUGCGCCAUCUCCGCUCACUGCAACCUCCGCCUUCCAGGUUCAAGCGAUUCUUCUGCCUCAGACUCCCGAGUAGCUGGGAUUAUAGGCACCCGCCAUCGUGCCCGGCUAAUUUUUGUAUUUUUUAGUAGAGUUGGAUUUCACCAUCUUGGCCAGGCUGGUCUUGAACUCCUGACCUCAUGAUCCACCUGCCUCCACCUCCCAAAGUGCUGGGAUUACAGACGUGAGCCACCUCGCCUGGCCCAAAACUGAAUUUUUAUAAGGAACCUCACUGAUGGGCUUAGGAGAAGAUUCAGAAAUCCGAUUAAUGUUUGGUCAAUCAAAGCAUCUUUAUAGGCAGUAACAUUAUUCCCAGGCACCUCCAGGUUGUUAGUUUUCCUCCUUAUAAACGGACAUAACAGUAGCCAACUCACAGAUGUACCAUGAAGAAUACAUGAGGUGAAAAAACAGAGGCACAGAGGUUUGACCCUUGCACACAGAUAUGGAGUGGCAGAGCCUGGGUGGGAACCUGGGUUGUUCUGAAUCCCGGAUCUGUGCUUAACCGACAGACAGAGACCCCUGCCCUCCUCCCCAGCUGAGAAAGAAUGGUGGGGACCCCACGGCAUGACAUGUCCCGAGUGACUGGGCCCCCACUGGAUGUAGGGUGAGCUCAUCAGGCUGGAAGCUUCGGGCUGACGUCAUGGCUGGGCACAGAAGCUUCAGCUCUCUCUGUAAUUACAGCUGGGCGGGGCUGGCUGAGUUGGAAACCAGUUGUGGGGAGAAUCACUGCAAGCCGCAUGACGCACCGGAGAAACCUGGCCCUGCCUGGGACCUGGGCAGGGGCUGGGACCCCCCCUACAAUGACACUAAUGGAAUUCCCAGCAUACUCGGCUCCAUGAAAGCAGGACCCUUGGGAGUCCUGUUCACAGUAGCAUCCCCAGCGCCUAGAGGGAGCCUGCUGCACUGUAGAAGCCCAGCAUAUCUUGGAUGAGUAGAUGAUGUCGUAUCAGCAACCCUGGGUCUGAAUUGCCAACUCCCACUGGGUAGACUCUACAUGCAGUAACAACAUCAACAUAUUAACUAAUUUCUGCAGUCCAUAGAAGAUGAGGAAACUGAGGCAAAAGACAUGAGGUGACCUGCCUGAGGCCACCAGCUUAUGGAUUCUGAACCCAGGUCUGUCUGAACUUUAAGCCCAGGCCUCUUUUCUCUGCCACACACCCCAGCAAGAAUGAAUAAAUAAACAAAAUAAAACAAACAGCCUGCACUGGGUCCCUCCCUAAAUGAGCCUAUGCCCUCACAAUCCUGGGAAAGUAACACUUACUUAUUGGAGCUCUGGCUUUCUUCUAUUAUUUUCUCCAAAAUUCUUUCCAGGAAUUGCCUUCCCUGACCACCUCUGCAAAUAAUAAUGAUAGCAGUAGUAAUAAUAAUAAUAAGUGCAUAUUUAACAUUUAGUACCAAUUGUAAGUGCUUUGCAUAUAUCAAAUUAUUUAAUUCUCACCUGAAUUGCUCUAAGGUAGGUAUUAUUAUCCCCAUUCACAGAUGACAACAUCAAGGCACAGAAUGGUUAAAUAACUUGCCCAAGGUCACACAGUUACUAAGUGGCAAGUAGCUGUGUCUAGGCAAUCCGGCUCCAGGGUCUGUUCUUAACCACUAUGUGAUUCUGUUGUUGUGAAUAACAACAACAAAAUGACAGUAAUGAUACCCAUCAUUAUUUGAGAACUAUCACAUCCCAAGCUCUGCUAAAUGCCCUAUAUGUUGUGCCUCUUUUAAUCGUCAUAACAAUCCUUGGAGGUAGAAGUCCUAUUGUUAACCACAUUUUACGGUUGAACAACCUAAGGCCCAGGGUCAGAUCCGGGAUUACUGGCUGCAAAGCCUGUACCUUCAGCAGCCCAGGGAGCCUGUGCCACCUGACCCCUGGUGUAUGCCCAGCCAGAGCACUGGCCUUCCAAACCCAGAUCUACCGGCAGAACACAGCUGAACUUCAGGUCACUGGACCACCUCUUCCCCCACCUUCUUGCUGGGCUUCUCUCUCUGAAACCUUCUUCAGCCCUUCCAAACUUUCUCAGCAGAACAAAUGACACCAGGAACACGCUGACAUUUGGGAGAGUGACGACUGCCUGGAAGGAGCUAUCACACAUCGAGCAGAGGAUCCUUACAUGUUAUUAAUGUGAAAGCCACUUGGAGCUAGGGCAGGGGUGGGGGCCCCGCAAGCUCAAUGGGAGCUCCUCUCUGCUGCAGGUGCCGCCAACAGAAGGGAGUCAGGGCUCAGCUAUGGGACGGAGAGGAUCAUCCUGCCCUCUCUCCACCCAUCCUCAAGGAGGGACAUCCCCAGCCGGGCUCUCAGGGGCUCUAUUUCUUAUACCUGAGCCUAAAUCAAGGCCUCUGGGAUCUUUCAUGGUCCAAAUACUUAUUCCAGGUUCAGGGAACCAAUAUCUCAACUAACCAGAAUUUUCAGGAAGUGACCGGGCUGCUAUUUCCCACUUAAGAAAGACAGUAAAACAUAGUGGGUAGGAACUCGACCAGAUAUGGAUUUGAAUCCCAUUAGCUCUGCUGCUCUGGGCAAGGAACUUAGUCUCUCUGAACCUCUGUCUUGUCAUCUGUAAAAUGGAGAUGAUCUCAAGACCCAUCUCCUUGAGUAAUUGUCAGCAUAGAUUAUCAGGGAAAAUGGUCUGGGAGGUGAGCGUGCCCUUGAUCACAUUGGACCUUGCAGACUCUAUUAAGAGGUUAGACUUUGUCCCGAGCACACUGAAGAACCAUUGAACUGUUUGGAGGAGGAGAGUGCUGUGAUGAGAACUGAGUUCCAGGAAAAUCAUCGUCUGCUUUUGGAGAAGAUCUUUUGGGGGCUUUAGGGAGACCAGUUAGGAGGCUGUUGUAGUGGUCCCAGUGAAAUGGCAACCUUGGCUGGGUUGUUGGCUGAGGAGCGGUAAAGCGUGGAUAAAAUCAUGAUCUAUUAAAGAAGCAGGAGCAUUUUGAGUGCUGAUUGCGAUGAGAGGGGGAGAGAAGUUUGGAUCAAAUGAAUGUCUCGGUUUUCAGACCUUUCAACGGGGUGAAUGGUGGUGCCACUCAGUGAACAUGUGAGGAGGAGCAGAUGCGGGGAGUGGGAGACACAGUCUGUUCAUUUACUCACGGAUUCAUUCAUUCCAUAAUUGUUACGUUCUCACUUGGAAAGCACUAGCCGAGGGGCUAGAGAUGAAGCAGUAAAUGAGGCAAAAGUCCCUGCUUUCAUGUGUAUCAAUAAACGGAUUGUAAAAGGAAAAUAAAUCUCGGGUCCCCCAAAUCACUAAGCUAAAGGGAAAAGUCAAGCUGUGAACAGCUGAGGGCAAACCUGCCUUCCAUUCUAUUCGAAGUCACCCCUCUGCUCACUGACUGAGAUAUAUACAUAUCUGAUUGCCUUCUUUGGAGAGGCUAAUCAGAAACUGGAAGGAAUGCAACCAUUUGUCUCUUAUCUACCUAUGACCUGGAAGCCCUUGCCCUGCUUUGAGUUGUCCCGCCUUGUCC
This 3753-nucleotide long non-coding RNA is filed under the name Homo sapiens (human). RNAcentral describes it as "HSALNT0195832". Lineage: Eukaryota; Metazoa; Chordata; Mammalia; Primates; Hominidae. The record is from RNAcentral.